UACGAAGGGGGCUAGCGUUGUUCGGAUUUACUGGGCGUAAAGCGCACGUAGGCGGAUUGUUAAGUCAGAGGUGAAAUCCUGGAGCUCAACUCCAGAACUGCCUUUGAUACUGGCAAUCUCGAGUCCGAGAGAGGUGAGUGGAACUCCUAGUGUAGAGGUGGAAUUCGUAGAUAUUAGGAAGAACACCAGUGGCGAAGGCGGCUCACUGGCUCGGUACUGACGCUGAGGUGCGAAAGCGUGGGGAGCAAAC
RNAcentral lists this ribosomal RNA (250 nucleotides) under uncultured Devosia sp. RNAcentral describes it as "partial 16S ribosomal RNA". It matches the Rfam family "Bacterial small subunit ribosomal RNA", at positions 524 to 773 of the family's 1533-position model. The record is from RNAcentral. Lineage: Bacteria; Pseudomonadati; Pseudomonadota; Alphaproteobacteria; Hyphomicrobiales; Devosiaceae.